RNAcentral lists this long non-coding RNA (1029 nucleotides) under Canis lupus familiaris (dog). RNAcentral describes it as "lncRNA (ENSCAFG00040011935.1)". The record is from RNAcentral. Lineage: Eukaryota; Metazoa; Chordata; Mammalia; Carnivora; Canidae.
AUGGGUAAGUUAAGGAAGAGGGAAGUAGGCAUACUCAGCUCACUUCACCCUUUUUCUUUUCCAGGUAGCCUGCCUACAGAGAACAAGGGUUCGUUUUAUUUCCUGCCUGCUCCCAGAGAGGAGGUUAUGGUGUUCCAGAAUGUUCUGUGUCUGGAUGAGGAUGCCUGCCUUAAUUCUGGCUCAGUAUUGGAGAUCCUCCCAUUCAGAGGAUCAUCUCACAGAGGCCUUUGAUGUGCAUUGUGGGUGUGAGAUUUGGAGACGGAAAUGAUAAAAUCCCAAUGAAUAAAUGAUCUGAGCCUCUGGAGACUUCAUAACAGAAGACAAAUUUCCACGCUUGCCCUAUGGGAAUCUGUUAUUCUUGGUGCCAACAUGUUUCCCUCUCCAUCUCGUGUAUAACAUGUUGCUAAGUAAAGCAGAACAGCAGAGAAAUAAAAUCCAUUGGAUCAUAUCCCACAGAUGGGAUCUUGUUUUCCUUGGCCUAAUAUGACCUUAGUAAUUUGCUUCCAGUAAGAAAUUGACCCAAUUCAAGAAGUACAGUUUAAUGCAUGAGAAAUCAGCAGACAUGAACUCUAAAUUCAUGUCUACGUUUAAUCAGUUUUAUAACCCUAAGAAGGAUAGUGAACCACUGUAAGUCCCAAUUAUUGUUCAAUUAAAUAAGGGAAGACAAUUAUCAAUGUGAUGAGGACAUCUUCUGGUUUUGCAGAAAUGUCCUUUCUUCCUGCCUAUAUGGUAAAAUUCUUGAGGUCACAGAUAAGUGUCUUGUGUAGUGUUUUGUGUUCUCACUCUAGACUUUUACACAAAAAGUGCUAAAUAAUUAGUCACCAAAUAUAUGAGUUAUUGAGCUAUUAAUUGGGACUGAGAAUUAGGAACAAAUUUAUUUCCUGUAGGAUUUCUUCCUUGACUUGCCAGUCGCAGAUAGGGCAAAAUGUUUCUCUGCUCUAAUCACGCCAAGCUUAUUACAACAUUUGUUAUAAAAUAUUGGAAUACUCUCCGGGUGGCUCUGACUUGGUAGCCCUUGAAGUAUAUGAA